RNAcentral lists this ribosomal RNA (438 nucleotides) under uncultured bacterium. RNAcentral describes it as "bacterial SSU rRNA". It matches the Rfam family "Bacterial small subunit ribosomal RNA", at positions 94 to 541 of the family's 1533-position model. The record is from RNAcentral.
AGCGGCGAAAGGGAGAGUAACGCGUGGUUACGUGCCCUCGAGACCGGGAUAGUGUUGGGAAACUGGCAGUAAUACCGGAUAACAUCUUCGGAUCAAAUGGUGUGAUUCCGCUCGAGGAUCGGACCGCGUACUAUUAGCUUGUUGGCGGGGUAACGGCCCACCAAGGCUGCGAUGGUUACCGGGUGUGAGAGCAUGGCCCGGCUCACUGGGACUGAGACACUGCCCAGACAUCUACGGAUGGCUGCAGUCGAGAAUCUUCGGCAAUGGACGAAAGUCUGACCGAGCGACGCCGCGUGCGGGAUGAAGGCCCUCGGGUUGUAAACCGCUGUCAGUUAGGAGGAAAUCCAUGAGGGUUCUCUCUCAUGGUUGACCGAUUUUCAGAGGAAGGACGGGCUAAGUUCGUGCCAGCAGCCGCGGUAAGACGAACCGUCCAAACGU